UGGGGAAUCUUGCGCAAUGCGCGAAAGCGUGACGCAGCAACGCCGCGUGUGGGAAGACGGCCCUCGGGUUGUAAACCACUUUCAGUUGGGACGAAGGGUGGUCCGUUAAUAGCGGCUCCACUUGACGGUACCUUCACAAGAAGCCCCGGCUAACUACGUGCCAGCAGCCGCGGUAAUACGUAGGGGGCAAGCGUUGUCCGGAAUCAUUGGGCGUAAAGCGCGUGUAGGCGGGUCGGUAAGUCUGCUCUGAAAGUCCAAGGCUCAACCUUGGGAUGCGGGUGGAUACUGCCGACCUCGAGUCCGGAAGAGGCGAGUGGAAUUCCUGGUGUAGCGGUGAAAUGCGCAGAUAUCAGGAGGAACACCAAUGGCGAAGGCAGCUCGCUGGGACGUGACUGACGCUGAGACGCGAAAGCGUGGGGAGCAAACAG
Molecule: ribosomal RNA, 428 nt
Filed under: uncultured bacterium
Lineage: Bacteria
Description: bacterial SSU rRNA
Rfam family: Bacterial small subunit ribosomal RNA
Source: RNAcentral